RNAcentral lists this transfer RNA (59 nucleotides) under Felis catus (domestic cat). Lineage: Eukaryota; Metazoa; Chordata; Mammalia; Carnivora; Felidae. RNAcentral also lists the same sequence under 1 other name. The record is from Rfam by way of RNAcentral.
GCCUGGAUGGCUCAGUUGGUUGAGCGUCUGACUGCGGCUCAGGUCGUGAUCUCAAGGCU